UAGGGAAUCUUCGGCAAUGGACGAAAGUCUGACCGAGCAACGCCGCGUGAGUGAAGAAAGUUUUCGGAUCGUAAAACUCUGUUGUUAGAGAAGAACAAGGACGUUAGUAACUGAACGUCCCCUGACGGUAUCUAACCAGAAAGCCACGGCUCACUACGUGCCAGCAGCCGCGGUAAUACGUAGGUGGCAAGCGUUGUCCGGAUUUAUUGGGCGUAAAGCGAGCGAAGGCGGUUUCUUAAGUCUGAUGUGAAAGCCCCCGGCUCAACCGGGGAGGGUCAUUGGAAACUGGGAGACUUGAGUGCAGAAGAGGAGAGUGGAAUUCCAUGUGUAGCGGUGAAAUGCGUAGAUAUAUGGAGGAACACCAGUGGCGAAGGCGGCUCUCUGGUCUGUAACUGACGCUGAGGCUCGAAAGCGUGGGGAGCAAACAGG
This 429-nucleotide ribosomal RNA is filed under the name Gemmatimonadota bacterium. RNAcentral's name for it is "Gemmatimonadetes bacterium partial 16S ribosomal RNA". It matches the Rfam family "Bacterial small subunit ribosomal RNA", at positions 355 to 776 of the family's 1533-position model. Lineage: Bacteria; Pseudomonadati; Gemmatimonadota. The record is from RNAcentral.